AUGAACGCUUGGCAGACACGUGUUGAUGAUUACUCCCUCAUUCAGUGCGGCAUGCUUUACAGCUUAGAACCGGGGCUCCAAAAGCGUUUUGAGCAACACGGAGCCUAUGAGAUGUUCGAAGAGCUGAAAAUGGUUUUCCAAGCUCAUGCCCGGGUCGAGAGAUAUGAAGUCUCCGACAAGUUCUUCAGCUGUAAGAUGGAGGAAAAUAGUUCUGUCAGUGAGCACAUACUCACUAUGUCUGGAUUACAUAACCGCUUAACUCAGCUGGGAGUUAAUCUCCCGGAUGACGCGGUCAUUGACAGAAUCCUUCAGUCGCUUCCACCGAGCUACAAGAGUUUUGUGAUGAACUUCAAUAUGCAGGGGAUGGAAAAGACCAUUCCUGAAGUAUUUGCAAUGCUGAAAUCAGCAGAGGUAGAAGUCAAAAAGGAACAUCAAGUGUUGAUGGUGAAUAAAACCACUAAGUUCAAGAAAGGCAAGGGUAAGAAGAACUUCAAGAAGGACGGCAAGGGAGUUGCCGCGCCUGGUAAGCAAGCUGCCGGGAAGAAGCCAAAGAAUGGACCCAAGCCCGAGACUGAGUGUUUUUAUUGCAAGGGAAGUGGUCACUGGAAGCGGAACUGCCCCAAAUACUUAGCGGACAAGAAGGCCGGCAAAACGAAAGGUAUAUGUGAUAUACAUGUAAUUGAUGUGUACCUUACCAGUACUCGUAGUAGCUCCUGGGUAUUUGAUACCGGUGCAGUUGCUCACAUUUGUAACUCAAAGCAGGAGCUGCGGAAUAAACGGAGACUGGCGAAGGACGAGGUGACGAUGCGCGUCGGGAAUGGUUCCAAGGUCGAUGUGAUCGCCGUCGGCACGCUACCUCUACAUUUACCUACAGGAUUAGUUUUGAACCUCAAUAAUUGUUAUUUAGUGCCAAGUUUGAGCAUGAACAUUUUAUCAGGAUCUCGUUUAAUACGAGAUGGCUACUCAUUUAAAUCCGAUAAUAAUGGUUAUUCUAUUUAUAUGAGAAAUAUGUUUUAUGGUCAUGCUCCGAUGGUGAAUGGUUUAUUCUUAAUGAAUCUCGAGCGUAAUGCUACACAUAUUCAUAGUGUGAAUACCAAAAGAUGUAAGGUUGAUAACGAUAGUCCCACAUACUUGUGGCAUUGCCGCCUUGGUCACAUAGGUGUCAAACGCAUGAAGAAGCUCCAUGCAGAUGGACUUUUAGAGUCUCUUGAUUACGAAUCAUUUGACACGUGCGAACCAUGCCUCAUGGGUAAAAUGACCAAGACUCCGUUCUCAGGAACAAUGGAGCGAGCAACCAACUUAUUGGAAAUCAUACAUACUGAUGUUGCGGUCCAAUGA
Molecule: ribosomal RNA, 1338 nt
Filed under: Triticum aestivum (bread wheat)
Lineage: Eukaryota; Viridiplantae; Streptophyta; Magnoliopsida; Poales; Poaceae
Description: partial small subunit ribosomal RNA
Source: RNAcentral